Long non-coding RNA from Lagenorhynchus albirostris (white-beaked dolphin), 1771 nucleotides. RefSeq lists it as uncharacterized. The transcript has 6 exons. Lineage: Eukaryota; Metazoa; Chordata; Mammalia; Artiodactyla; Delphinidae. The record is from RefSeq and is a predicted model, not a curated record.
CAAGGAUGUAAUGUAUAGCACAGACAAUAUAACCAAUAUUUGAUAAUAACUUUAAAUGGAAUAUAGUCUAUAAAAAUAUUGAAUCACUAUGUUGUAUACCUGAAAUUAAUAUAACAUUGUAAAUCAACUAUACUUCAGUUUUAAAAAAGGAUGAUUAUAUCCAGAUAUGUUUGCUUAUUAUACUGAAUCUUUCUCGAGUCAGUAACUGAGAAAUUCUGAGAAUUCAAAGAAAUGUAUAGAAUAUGAAGUUGAAGGGGGACUAGAGAGUGACUACUUAAAGGGUAUAGGAUUUCCUUUAGGGGUGAUUUAAAUGUUCUAAAAUUGACUGUGGUAAUGGUUGCACUACUCUGUGAAUAGACCAAAACCAUUGAAUUUUACACAUUAAAUGUGUGAAUUGUAUUGUGAGUUAUAUCUCAGUAAAGCUGUUUUAAAAAGUCCAUCCACAGCCCCGUCCUCAGUCCCAGCUAAGGCUGCAAGCCCAGACUCAGACCCAGACUCAAUCACAGAGUGUCACUCUUGAUUAGUGUACGUAGAUUAUGGUAACUCCACUUUCUUUGGUCAGCAAUUGGCUAAGGAAAACUCAUGCGACCCAAUUUUAGCCAAUAGGAUGUAAGGGAAUGGUUUCUUGAGGAUAAAAGGAUGAGAAAGAUUUCUUAGCACUUAGAGACUUACAAGAAACAAAUAAUUCUUUUUUCUGCCCCUUUCUGCAUUGUUGUAUGACGAUGUGAUACCUGGAGCUGUUGCAGCCAUAUUGAUAUUACAAGGGGCAAAUUACUCUACAUAUUGUGGAUGGAAGAGCAGGAAAUAAAAUGAUGUCUUUAUGCUACAGAAGUGACAAACACUACCUUUGGAGUUCUUGUUAUGAUUAUAGAUUCUCCUCAAGCCCCAGUGUCUCAACUCCUCUACAAAAGCAACCAUAACUACUACAGUGUGCACUAAGUUUCUCUUCUCUGAACAAAUACAUCUAAUAGGGUUCUGGAGUGUUCUGGAACUGAACAUUGUUUGUCUUCAAGAGUAACCUAAGGUACUUGCCACUCAGCAUUUACUUCAACCUUAGAGCUUAACAGACGGCCUGGUGUACGAACCAACCUGCCAUGAAUUUUAUAGUUGGAAAGAAAUUAACUCCAACAACAACAUAAGGGAGUUGGAAGUGGAUUUUUUCCCCAGUCUAGCCUCCAGAUGAGAACAAGCCCAGCCAACAACCUGAGUGCACCCUUGUGAGACUCUGAGCAGAGAAAUCGUGGAAGUCAUGCCCAGACGUCUGACUUACAGAAAUUGGAGUAGACACAAAGGAAGAGGGUAAACUUAAAUCCCCUGGUUGCCUGAGGCAAUAGGAGACAUCCACCACUGAGACUUGAAAAAGUACCCAAGAAAGCGAGAUCCGCAUUCCAAACUGCCUGAAGAAUUUUUCUGUAUUCAAGCCUGAAUGGGAUGUAGUGUCAGCUGUCUGGGUGGCUGCCUACUGCUAUGAGUUGUAAGAUUUCAGUUUCAGAAAAGGCAGUGUGGGGACUUCGCUGGUGGUGCAGUGGUUAAGAAUCCGCCUGCCAAUGCAAGGGACAUGGGUUCGAGCCCUAGUCUGGGAAGAUCCCAUAUGCCUCGGGGCAACUUAGCCCAUGUGCCACAAUUACUGAAGCCCACGCACCUAGAGCCCACCGCAACAAGAAGCCUGCGCACCUCUGUGAAGAGUAGCCCGUUUGCCACAGCUAGAGGAAGCCUGCACGCAGCGACGAAGGCCCAACGCAGUCAAAAAUAAAUAAAUUAAUUUUAAAAA